UCAAAAAUAAACCAAUACACAAAAUUUCAAAUUCAAAACACAAAUAAAAUUGCACAAUCUGAUAUGAAAAAUAAAAGCAAUAAUAGCAUUUGCCUUCUCUGUUUUUUCCUUUUGACAAAAUUGGGAAGAAGAAAAUUAAUCUUCACUUUACUUCCAAGCUCUUCCAAAAUUGGGAAGAGAAACUUGCACUAUAAUCCCAAUUGAAAAAGCUCAAUUCCAUUUCCAUCAAAUACUCAAAUUCAACCAAAAUCACUUCCCCAACAAUUAAAAAAACCUCCUCAGAUCUAUCCAAAAUCAACUUUAUUUGCCAAAGAAUAAAACAACCAAAGAAACACCAUCAUUAAAGACCUCAAUGAAUUCAAAUCCAAAAAUCAAUCUUCCACAAGUAAAAAUUCUAAGAAAGAAACACACCAAUACACAAAAAAAUGGGUGUGGGGGUUCGAAGAAGAUGAAAAAACGAGGUGUUGGGAGGUGGGGUGGGGGUCAAGGUGGGGUAAGGG
This 500-nucleotide long non-coding RNA is filed under the name Capsicum annuum. Its description in RNAcentral is "long non-coding RNA (CANN_LNC013160)". The record is from RNAcentral. Lineage: Eukaryota; Viridiplantae; Streptophyta; Magnoliopsida; Solanales; Solanaceae.